Molecule: ribosomal RNA, 555 nt
Filed under: Staphylococcus aureus
Lineage: Bacteria; Bacillati; Bacillota; Bacilli; Caryophanales; Staphylococcaceae
Description: partial 23S ribosomal RNA
Rfam family: Bacterial large subunit ribosomal RNA
Source: RNAcentral
UUCAUAGAGUGUAAAGGCAUAAGGGAGCUUGACUGCGAGACCUACAAGUCGAGCAGGGUCGAAAGACGGACUUAGUGAUCCGGUGGUUCCGCAUGGAAGGGCCAUCGCUCAACGGAUAAAAGCUACCCCGGGGAUAACAGGCUUAUCUCCCCCAAGAGUUCACAUCGACGGGGAGGUUUGGCACCUCGAUGUCGGCUCAUCGCAUCCUGGGGCUGUAGUCGGUCCCAAGGGUUGGGCUGUUCGCCCAUUAAAGCGGUACGCGAGCUGGGUUCAGAACGUCGUGAGACAGUUCGGUCCCUAUCCGUCGUGGGCGUAGGAAAUUUGAGAGGAGCUGUCCUUAGUACGAGAGGACCGGGAUGGACAUACCUCUGGUGUACCAGUUGUCGUGCCAACGGCAUAGCUGGGUAGCUAUGUGUGGACGGGAUAAGUGCUGAAAGCAUCUAAGCAUGAAGCCCCCCUCAAGAUGAGAUUUCCCAACUUCGGUUAUAAGAUCCCUCAAAGAUGAUGAGGUUAAUAGGUUCGAGGUGGAAGCAUGGUGACAUGUGGAGCUGACGA